This is a regulatory RNA element of Pseudomonas sp. 21C1, 112 nucleotides long. It matches the Rfam family "Pseudomon-Rho RNA". NCBI's taxonomy places the organism in Bacteria, Pseudomonadati, Pseudomonadota, Gammaproteobacteria, Pseudomonadales, Pseudomonadaceae. The record is from Rfam.
UUCGGCCUCGCUGCAUUUCCUAUGUAGCCCCCUGCAAGCCGUCGCCGACGCCUUCCCGAUCGAAUAAUUCGAUACACAAGCAGGCGAUCCAGUCGCCUCUCCGCGGCGCGGC